CAGGCUUGCCCCUGUUUGCAGAGCCGGGAAAAGGAUAAGAGGAUGUCAGAGCGGAUGGGGCAUCUUUGCGGUGAGAGCUGGGAGGGGUGGGGAGAGUCUCACCUGCUGUUCUGUUGUGGAUUUGUCUGUGAGUCACACUUGGCGCCUCUGCAGAAAGGACAUGGACUAUUUGGCCUUAUAUUCAUGGCUGCGCUGAAGACCAGGCAUCUAACUGGCCAUGUCUAAUCAGCAGGUUUCUCCCAAAGAUGCAGAAGCCUAUCUACCUUCUGAGACUGACAUUGUGAACCAUUGCAAGGAGCUGGUCAUUGCAUGAAUUGUUUUGAGCACAUUAUCUUGAAUAAUCAACAUAACAACACUGUGAGGUAAGUGUUAUUAUUAUUCUU
RNAcentral lists this long non-coding RNA (383 nucleotides) under Neogale vison (American mink). Its description in RNAcentral is "Neovison vison (American mink) lncRNA (ENSNVIG00000007041.1)". The record is from RNAcentral. Lineage: Eukaryota; Metazoa; Chordata; Mammalia; Carnivora; Mustelidae.